This 300-nucleotide ribosomal RNA is filed under the name uncultured Clostridium sp. RNAcentral's name for it is "bacterial SSU rRNA". It matches the Rfam family "Bacterial small subunit ribosomal RNA", at positions 497 to 796 of the family's 1533-position model. The record is from RNAcentral. Lineage: Bacteria; Bacillati; Bacillota; Clostridia; Eubacteriales; Clostridiaceae.
CUAACUCCGUGCAAGCAGUCGCGGGAAAACGGAGGGGCCAAGCGUUAAUCUGACGUACUGUCCGUAAAGCGUGCGCAGGCGGCUUAUUAAGUCAGAUGUGAAAUACCUGAGCCUAAGCCAGUAACAGCAUUUGAAACUAAUAAACUAGAGUAUCGUUGAGGGAGGUAGAAUUCCAGGUGUAGCGGUGAAAUGCGUAGAUAUCUGGAGGAAUACCAGUGGCGAAGGCGACCUCCUGGACGAAAACUGACGCUCAAGCACGAAAGCAUGGGGAGCAAACAGGAUUAGAUACCCCAGUAGUCC